This 1434-nucleotide ribosomal RNA is filed under the name Triticum aestivum (bread wheat). RNAcentral's name for it is "partial small subunit ribosomal RNA". The record is from RNAcentral. Lineage: Eukaryota; Viridiplantae; Streptophyta; Magnoliopsida; Poales; Poaceae.
AUGCCGCUGCUAUUGCUUCUUCUUGUCAGCUUGUCUGUAGGUUCUUGUGUGGGUGACCAUCAUCAGCUCCUCAACUUCAUGACAGUGAAAACAAGCUCCCUAAAGCAUAUCGCAGAAGGCGCCGUCUGCUCCGGACACAAGGUGACAAUGCCGUCCGGCGACGGUGUCAGGUGGGUACCGAUGAACCGCCCGCACGGCCCAUGCUCGUCGGCGGCGGCGACUACGGUCGUCGACGGCAUGCUCCUGUGGGACCAGCUACGCACCAGCUCAAUCCGGAGGAAGCUCUCCGGCGGCAGGGCCGGCGAUGGCCUGCCGGUCAUCCACUCCCGUGAAGCCAAAACUAGCAACAUCGACAGCAGUAUGACUGCGAAAAGCACGCUGGGGGGCAGCGGCGGGACAAGCUCCACGACAAUGGAAAGGACCAGCGAACACUUGUACUCCAAGGUGAGCCAAACGGUGGUGGUGGACACGAGCAGCGACAUUCCGUGGGUGCAGUGCCUCCCGUGCCCCGCCCCGCAGUGUCACCUCCAGAAGGACCAACUCUACGACCCCGCCAACUCCAGCACGUACGCACCUAUCCCCUGCGGCUCCCCUGCCUGCACGGAGCUCGGUAGCAGCCACAGCAGUGGCUGCUCCGCCGGCUCCGACCAAUGCAAGUACAUCCUCGACUACGGCGACGGCAGGGCCACCGCCGGGACAUACGUCACCGACACGCUGACCUUGUCGCCCACCAUCGCGGUCAAGGGCUUCCGGUUCGGGUGCAGCCACGCCGUGAGGGGCACCUUCAGUGACCAGACCGCCGGCGUCCUGGCCCUCGGCGGUGGCGCUGGGUCCCUCCUUGCGCAGACCGCGGAGACCUUCGGCAACGCCUUCUCCUACUGCGUCCCGCACCCGAGCUCCGAUGGAUUCCUCUCGCUGGGCGGGCCGGUGGGGAACUCGUCGCAGUUCACGAGCACGCCUCUGAUCAAGAACCAACACGCUCCGACGUUCUACAUCGUCCGCCUGGAGGCAAUCACCGUGGCCGGGAGGCGGCUCGACGUGCCGCCGGCUACGUUCGCCGGUGGUGCGGUGAUGGACUCAGGGGCGGUCGUCACGCAGCUGCCACCGUCGGCAUACGCAGCGCUGCGGGCAGCGUUCAGGAGCGCCAUGACGGCGUAUGGCCCGCUUGCGGAUCCCGUACGCAACCUUGACACGUGCUAUGACUUGACCCGCUUCCCCGAGGUCAAUGUCCCCAAGGUGUCCCUAGUGUUCGCAGGCGGUGCCACCUUGGAGCUCGAGCCGGCGUCCAUCAUGCUGGACGGCUGCCUGGCUUUCACGGCCUCCCCUGGCGGCCACGGCUCCAUCGGAUUCAUCGGCAACGUGCAGCAGCAGACCUACGAGGUUUUGUACGACGUCGGCAGCGGGAGCGUGGGAUUCCGCAGUGGCGCGUGCUGA